UAAGCUCAUUUGGCUAUAUAAAAAUAUUCAGUAGUUUGCUACACAAGGUGACAUACAUUGCUUAGCCAUCUUCACUCACUUUGGAAAAUGCACAGUGAAUUCUGCUUAUACCAUUUCUGCAAUUACGUGAUGCCAGCCUUUCUUGAAAUACAGUGAUUGAACAACUACCUCCAGUAUGCUCAACUGAUCCAAGAAGAGCCAGAAAGGAAUUAAUCAAAAUGAAAUCUGAACCACUUACCCUGACCUAUCUGAAUCAACUACAA
Long non-coding RNA from Pezoporus occidentalis (night parrot), 263 nucleotides. RefSeq lists it as uncharacterized. The transcript has 3 exons. NCBI's taxonomy places the organism in Eukaryota, Metazoa, Chordata, Aves, Psittaciformes, Psittacidae. The record is from RefSeq and is a predicted model, not a curated record.